Molecule: ribosomal RNA, 309 nt
Filed under: Arion fuscus
Lineage: Eukaryota; Metazoa; Mollusca; Gastropoda; Stylommatophora; Arionidae
Description: partial large subunit ribosomal RNA
Source: RNAcentral
UGCUAAGGUAGCAAAAUAAAUAGGCUUUUAAUUAAGGUCGAGUAUGAAUGGUAACAUGGGUGGCAGCUGUCUCAUUUUGUAAAAUUUUAAUUUAAUUAGUAGGUGAAAAUGCCUACCUAAAUACAUUAGACGAGAAGACCCUUAGAGUUUUUAAAACUUUAACUAGUAAGUAUUUAUGAAUUUUUUGUUGGGGCGACACAGUAGUACUUUAACCUACUUAGAUACACAUAUUACGGGACUUUAUUGAAAACAUAUGAAUAUAACUACCUAAGGGAUAACAGCAUAAUUUUUUUUAUUAAGAUUGUGACC